GACGAACGCUGGCGGCGUGCCUAAUACAUGCAAGUAGAACGCUGAAGGCGGAGCUUGCUUCUCUGGAUGAGUUGCGAACGGGUGAGUAACGCGUAGGUAACCUGCCUGGUAGCGGGGGAUAACUAUUGGAAACGAUAGCUAAUACCGCAUAAGAGUAGAUGUUGCAUGACAUUUGCUUAAAAGGUGCAAUUGCAUCACUACCAGAUGGACCUGCGUUGUAUUAGCUAGUUGGUGGGGUAACGGCUCACCAAGGCGGCGAUACAUAGCCGACCUGAGAGGGGGAUCAGCCACCCUGGGACGGAGACACGGCACAGACUCCCACGGGAGGCAGCAGUAGGGAAUCGUCGGCAAGGGACGGAAGUCUGACCGAGCAACGCCGCGUGCGUGAAGAAGGUUUUCGGAUCGUAAAGCUCUGUUGUAAGAGAAGAACGAGUGUGAGAGUGGAAAGUUCACACUGUGACGGUAUCUUACAAGAAAGGGACGGCUAACUACGUG
Molecule: ribosomal RNA, 495 nt
Filed under: uncultured bacterium
Lineage: Bacteria
Description: partial 16S ribosomal RNA
Rfam family: Bacterial small subunit ribosomal RNA
Source: RNAcentral